RNAcentral lists this long non-coding RNA (1386 nucleotides) under Anas zonorhyncha (Eastern spot-billed duck). RNAcentral describes it as "lncRNA (ENSAZOG00000017856.1)". Lineage: Eukaryota; Metazoa; Chordata; Aves; Anseriformes; Anatidae. The record is from RNAcentral.
CGGAGAUCAAAGCUUAACCUCAAUCCAAAAGGAGUCUGAAAUUCAUCCUUAAAGCAUCUUGGAGCCAGUGGGCUUCUUAUAACCCUCAACAAACCGUGCAGAUUCACAGCAGACGGCCAUUGGAAACGUCUGGCCACAACUCACUUAAACAGAAAAGGCUGAAACAAUCUCACAAGUGCAGGAGCUGGCUGCUCCACAAAUCAAACCACCACAAAGUCUGCAAAUAGCGGAAACGCGAUGUGUAAACGCGCACAGGAGUAGCGAUAGCAGGGGGCCGUUGGAACGGGGAACAAAAGGUACAGGUGAAAAUGUAAGCAGCCGUUUUAAAUCAGGUUUUGGAUUUGAGUCAAGACAGAUCCAGAGGAAAGGUUUGGUUUAACAUUGCCCGUCUCAAAACCACUCAAGUCAUGCUAAGGUAGCAAGGCCAGGCAGCUGGAGGGGCGGCAGCUUUUGAUGUACGCUUGUGCCAUUUAAUAACCGAAGGAGCUCAAAUUAAGUCAGUUCUCUNNNNNNNNNNGUGAAAAUGUAAGCAGCCGUUUUAAAUCAGGUUUUGGAUUUGAGUCAAGACAGAUCCAGAAGAAAGGUCUGCUUUAACAUUGCCCGUCUCAAAACCACUCAAGUCAUGCUAAGGUAGCAAGGCCAGGCAGUUGGAGGGGCGGCAGCUUUUGAUGUACGCUUGUGCCAUUUAAUAACCGAAGGAGCUCAAAUUAAGUCAGUUCUCAGAUGAUAUUUUAAUGAAAAGUGUGACUGCCCAUCAUAUUCCAAGGAGCUUUAAGCAUAUUACUUGUUCGCUUAAGUGUUUCUCUCAUCAAACAGAAACAAGCUGGAAAGAGAGGAGGUUUGGAUCCUCCACAAUAUCUGAUGCAAUCCAGCUACAGUCAGCAUUUCACUAUUUCACUGUUCGUUCCCAAGCCCUCCUCCCGUGAACUGCCAGGACUGAGCAUGGAAGCUUCUUCCUUCCCCACGCGAGCUGACUCAGGAGUGUCACCCCAACAUAGUCACAUUGCUUUUAUUUAGGUCUUCUGCCAACAGUUACAGGGUAACAGACACUUGGGACUGCAAAGUCAAAGUUGCAAGCAAAAAUCAGGACCGAGGCAAAAAAAAAUAAUAAUAAAAAAAAUAAAAAUCCACAAAAGCAAUCAAAUCAAAUAUAAAUACAAUGUUCUGGAGCUCUUUAAUCAUACCGUUUUCUUUAAUAAAGAGGUGGUUAUGAUCUUACAGUAUUUUCUUUUGGCCUAAUCCAAGGAUUUUGUUACUCUUUACCAGUCUUAAUUCCACGCAUACAAAAAAAAAAAAGUUGAUAUUCAACCUUUAAAAUAUAAGCCAUAUUUUCUUAAUAAAAUAAGUUUUGUGCUGCUGCUUGUUUAGUAAGUACUGUACAUCAAC